GUGGGGAAUUUUGGACAAUGGGCGCAAGCCUGAUCCAGCCAUGCCGCGUGCAGGAUGAAGGCCUUCGGGUUGUAAACUGCUUUUGUACGGAACGAAAAGACUCUGGUUAAUACCUGGGGUCCAUGACGGUACCGUAAGAAUAAGCACCGGCUAACUACGUGCCAGCAGCCGCGGUAAUACGUAGGGUGCGAGCGUUAAUCGGAAUUACUGGGCGUAAAGCGUGCGCAGGCGGUUAUGUAAGACAGAUGUGAAAUCCCCGGGCUCAACCUGGGAACUGCAUUUGUGACUGAAUAGCUAGAGAACGGCAGAGGGGGAUGGAAUUCCGCGUGUAGCAGUGAAAUGCGUAGAUAUGCGGAGGAACACCGAUGGCGAAGGCAAUCCCCUGGGCCUGUACUGACGCUCAUGCACGAAAGCGUGGGGAGCAAACAGGAUUAGAAACCCCGGUAGUCC
This 450-nucleotide ribosomal RNA is filed under the name uncultured bacterium. RNAcentral's name for it is "bacterial SSU rRNA". It matches the Rfam family "Bacterial small subunit ribosomal RNA", at positions 354 to 796 of the family's 1533-position model. The record is from RNAcentral.